This 253-nucleotide ribosomal RNA is filed under the name uncultured bacterium. RNAcentral's name for it is "partial 16S ribosomal RNA". It matches the Rfam family "Bacterial small subunit ribosomal RNA", at positions 524 to 776 of the family's 1533-position model. The record is from RNAcentral.
UACAGAGGAUGCAAGCGUUAUCCGGAAUGAUUGGGCGUAAAGCGUCUGUAGGUGGCUUUUCAAGUCCGCCGUCAAAUCCCAGGGCUCAACCCUGGACAGGCGGUGGAAACUACCAAGCUGGAGUACGGUAGGGGCAGAGGGAAUUUCCGGUGGAGCGGUGAAAUGCGUAGAUAUCGUCUGGAACGCCGAAGGUGAAAACAGCUCGCUGGGGCUGCGCUGACGCUGAGACACGAAAGCCAGGGGAGCGAACGGG